UGGCUCAGGACGAACGCUGGCGGCGUGCCUAAUACAUGCAAGUCGAGCGGAUCUUCAUUAGCUUGCUUUUGAAGAUCAGCGGCGGACGGGUGAGUAACACGUGGGCAACCUGCCUGUAAGACUGGGAUAACUUCGGGAAACCGGAGCUAAUACCGGAUAAUCCUUUCCCUCACAUGAGGGAAAGCUGAAAGACGGUUUCGGCUGUCACUUACAGAUGGGCCCGCGGCGCAUUAGCUAGUUGGUGAGGUAACGGCUCACCAAGGCAACGAUGCGUAGCCGACCUGAGAGGGUGAUCGGCCACACUGGGACUGAGACACGGCCCAGACUCCUACGGGAGGCAGCAGUAGGGAAUCUUCCGCAAUGGACGAAAGUCUGACGGAGCAACGCCGCGUGAACGAUGAAGGCUUUCGGGUCGUAAAGUUCUGUUGUCAGGGAAGAACAAGUACCGGAGUAACUGCCGGUACCUUGACGGUACCUGACCAGAAAGCCACGGCUAACUACGUGCCAGCAGCCGCGGUAAUACGUAGGUGGCAAGCGUUGUCCGGAAUUAUUGGGCGUAAAGCGCGCGCAGGCGGUUCCUUAAGUCUGAUGUGAAAGCCCCCGGCUCAACCGGGGAGGGUCAUUGGAAACUGGGGAACUUGAGUGCAGAAGAGGAGAGCGGAAUUCCACGUGUAGCGGUGAAAUGCGUAGAGAUGUGGAGGAACACCAGUGGCGAAGGCGGCUCUCUGGUCUGUAACUGACGCUGAGGCGCGAAAGCGUGGGGAGCGAACAGGAUUAGAUACCCUGGUAGUCCACGCCGUAAACGAUGAGUGCUAAGUGUUAGAGGGUUUCCGCCCUUUAGUGCUGCAGCAAACGCAUUAA
This 861-nucleotide ribosomal RNA is filed under the name Mesobacillus thioparans. RNAcentral's name for it is "bacterial SSU rRNA". It matches the Rfam family "Bacterial small subunit ribosomal RNA", at positions 20 to 863 of the family's 1533-position model. The record is from RNAcentral. Lineage: Bacteria; Bacillati; Bacillota; Bacilli; Caryophanales; Bacillaceae.